CAACAUUUACUAUUACUCAACACAACAGUGGCCAGGGUUCAUCUUAUGAUAUUAAUUCUGCUUCUACAUUUUCUUCAGUAUUUAUCCUACAAAUAACUAACAGCAAAAGCUCUGAAAUUACCUUUUAUACACUUUGCAUGCUGCUUACAAUGCCAUGAGGAGCAGCAAUAGGUCCUGCAGCUUGCCCAGGUUGAGAAUAUAUCUUGCUGGGUUGGGUUAUAUAAUUUACAAGCCUUGGGCUUGGGUCAUAAUAGAUAGUCAGUUGUCUCAAAGUCGGGUAUACAUCGUACAAGGAAGUUUUCUCAAAGGAGAAAACAAAUGUGAAUAACAAGAAUCUGCAAUAAGAGAAAUACAUCACAACUGUAAGAAAUAGUUAAUGUAACAAUGAAAGUUUAAUUGGCAGUUUGGCACUGUAAAAGCCUAGAUAUAUCCCCAAGCACAAGGCUAGGCUACAUCCACAUGCAGGGCUAAAAUAAGCCUAAUAAUGGAAGAUUACAGGUAAACAAGGGUCAGCUACAGUUCUUAAUAUGCCUAAGAUUGGGAUUACAAGUAUAAAAGGGAUUCCCAUAUAACCUCAAUACUAAACCCAAGUAAUAACUGCAAAUCCUCCAAAGGGAAGGGAAAUGAUGUAUAUAGGAGUAGACAAUUAUAGUUUAGAAGGAUAGAAACGAGGAUAGAUCUUAACAUUAAAAAAUAAAUAAAAUAGACAGAAGAUGUUGGUAACGUUGAUGAAGUUCCUUAAUAUAGAAGCUCUAACGUUGGUAACGUUAGAGAUUCUCGGCAAUGUUGGUAACGUUAGAGCUUCUAGAAUCUGCAACAAUCAGAAAGGCCAAUUACUUCAAAUAUACGGACUUGCAUAACUCAAGAAAGUGAUUCUAAAUAGGAAUACCUUUUUAUUGAUUGGACGAGGCUUAAACUUGGGAAUUUUCGCCAUCAUUUCUUCCUCAAGUUCUGAAUAACUCUUAAUCUUAACUGAACGAACUCUCUAAUAUGUUUCAAGCUCAAGUUCCUUUGGCCUGAAAUACUCUUGGCAAAUGAAACUGAUAUUACAUACCACCGGUUGACAACUAUACCCCUAGUCUAAGUAGCUGGAACCAAAGCAUAAAUUAGAACCGUUUGUAAACGCUGUGACAACUAAAUUCUUACUUUUGGUUUUGACAUGCCUUCUUUCUCAACACAGACUUAGAUUUCUCUCGUGAGAGAAUUUAAAGGAACUAAAAUGACAACAAAACAAUGAAUGAUUAAGCCAUGUAAUGUUCAACAAUUUACAUCACAGAAAUCAAAAAUAAUAAAAGAGAGAGAUAAUGAGAAAAGAGCUAAUAUAAUCUCUAUGACAUGCAUGCAUCAAAAGAAUUAUGUAUAAAACUGUAAUAAAAAGUGCAAAUUCAGACCUUGAUUAUUGAAAAUAUCUUCAAAUAAGCACAAACAGAGCCUAUAAAUUGUAAAUAUCUCCUCUUUCUAUGCAUCAAGUCUAUUUUGAACGUUUUAAUAGAGAAUUUUUAUUCGUAAAAACAUGUUACACGGUAGCAAAAACUAAAAAACUACAACUGAGUGAAGCUACAAAUUAAAAUCAUUAUCAUAAUACUUCUCCUUUUACAAAAUUUGAAAUUCAUUUCUAAAAAGAACAGUUUAAAAUAAAACUUUGUUUUAACAUUUGCAACAUAUGUAAUAGGUACUCAAUCUACCUAAAAUGUAAAUAAUAGCAUGUUGGAUUUCAUGUCACUUCGUAAUCUAAAAUUAGAAAUGUAUCCCUAAAUUUGUUUGGAACUGCGGUAACGAUGUAUUGAACUUAUGAAAUACAAAUAAUAAUAAAACAGUCGGUCCCAUUUUGGUGUAAAUAAUAAUUAAUCAAACCUUUUUCUUCUGUUUCUGUUUCUGGGGCAAUAUGUUGAUUCCAACUGGAUUCAAAGCAGCUUUAGCAGCAGAAAUUGUGUCACUCUGGAUCUGCGACAAAGUCCCCCUCUUUAAUUUUUGGCGGUACUACCAACAAAAAUAAAAAGGAGAGACAGAAACAGAGAAAUAGAUUCCAGAGAUGAGAGACAGGAAUCAGAUGUUAUCCUCAAAGCAUGACCCAUAACAAACCUGCCGCUGGACAGAAGAUAGAGAUCUAGAAGAUUAGCUGAGAUUUGAGAUACAGAAGAUUCAGAUAUAUGGGUCAGGCGGGUUUUGUGGUGUUAACCUAGAUUUAUCAGAGAUGCACAUAAAAGCCCUAGAUUUAUCCAAAUUUCUCAAACAAAAACCUCGAAUUCCAUGCUUGAAACUGGUGAAAUAACCCGAAUUAAAGCUCCUCAACGAUUUUGAAGCUUCAAAAAUGGCAAGAUUUUGAGGAGAAAUGGAAGGGAAAAGGAGAGAGGAACUCAUCUCCAUAAAACCAACAUCGCAGAGAGAGAAAGUAGAGAGAUAGGAACCUCCUUUUAAUUUCAAAUGUUAGCUUUCGUGUUUUUUUUCUCUGUAUUUUUU
RNAcentral lists this long non-coding RNA (2460 nucleotides) under Panax ginseng (ginseng). RNAcentral's name for it is "long non-coding RNA (PGIN_LNC018548)". Lineage: Eukaryota; Viridiplantae; Streptophyta; Magnoliopsida; Apiales; Araliaceae. The record is from RNAcentral.